CUUGGUGACGAUAGAGAAAGAGGUACACCCGAUCCCAUCCCGAACUCGGAAGUUAAGUCUUUCAUCGCCGAUGGUACUGCGCACAAGAGCGUGGGAGAGUAGGUCGUCGCUAAGC
This 115-nucleotide ribosomal RNA is filed under the name Waddliaceae bacterium. The record is from RNAcentral. Lineage: Bacteria; Pseudomonadati; Chlamydiota; Chlamydiia; Parachlamydiales; Waddliaceae.